UACAGAGGGGGCAAGCGUUGUUCGGAAUUACUGGGCGUAAAGGGCGCGUAGGCGGCCUGCUAAGUCGAACGUGAAAUCCCCGAGCUCAACUCGGGAACUGCGUCCGAUACUGGCAGGCUUGAAUCCGGGAGAGGGAUGCGGAAUUCCAGGUGUAGCGGUGAAAUGCGUAGAUAUCUGGAGGAACACCGGUGGCGAAGGCGGGUCUCUGGGCAUCUCCUGACGCUGAGGCGCGAAAGCGUGGGGAGCAAACGGG
Molecule: ribosomal RNA, 253 nt
Filed under: uncultured bacterium
Lineage: Bacteria
Description: partial 16S ribosomal RNA
Rfam family: Bacterial small subunit ribosomal RNA
Source: RNAcentral